AAAUUUCUGGUCUAUUCGAUACUAACAAUAUAAUUUUUGGGCUUUACUCUUUUUUUAAUGGGGUUAUCACUUUACAAAAGAGAUUCAGGUCAAUCACGGCGGCAUUAGCUUUGCACGGAUUCUGUGCUGUUUUGUGAAAAUAACUACCACCUGUAACAUUUACAGGCAACCAAAAAUUAAGUUAGAACGGUAGAUUGGAUUUUUU
RNAcentral lists this non-coding RNA (205 nucleotides) under Leptotrichia sp. RNAcentral describes it as "6S RNA". It matches the Rfam family "6S / SsrS RNA". Rfam says of the family: E. coli 6S RNA was the first non coding RNA to be sequenced, but its function was unknown until recently. It consists of 184 nucleotides that fold into an extended hairpin structure with a large single-stranded internal bulge. The 6S RNA specifically associates with RNA polymerase holoenzyme containing the sigma70 specificity factor. Lineage: Bacteria; Fusobacteriati; Fusobacteriota; Fusobacteriia; Fusobacteriales; Leptotrichiaceae. RNAcentral also lists the same sequence under 1 other name. The record is from RNAcentral.